CCUACGGGUGGCAGCAGUGAGGAAUAUUGGUCAAUGGGCGCGAGCCUGAACCAGCCAAGUAGCGUGAAGGAUGACUGCCCUACGGGUUGUAAACUUCGUUUAUAAAGGAAUAAAGUGAUGCACGUGUGCCUUUUUGUAUGUACUUUAUGAAUAAGGAUCGACUAACUCCGUGCCAGCAGCCGCGGUAAGACGGAGGAUCCGAGCGUUAUCCGGAUUUAUUGGGUUUAAAGGGAGCGUAGAUGGGUUGUUAAGUCAUUUGUGAAAGUUUGCGGCUCAACCGUAAAAUUGCAAUUGAUACUGGCAGUCUUGAGUACAGUUGAGGUAGGUGGAAUUCGUGGUGUAGCGGUGAAAUGCUUAGAUAUCAGGAAGAACACCGAUUGCGAAGGCAGCUUACUAAAC
Molecule: ribosomal RNA, 399 nt
Filed under: uncultured bacterium
Lineage: Bacteria
Description: partial 16S ribosomal RNA
Rfam family: Bacterial small subunit ribosomal RNA
Source: RNAcentral